UUCAUAGAGUGUAAAGGCAUAAGGGAGCUUGACUGCGAGACCUACAAGUCGAGCAGGGUCGAAAGACGGACUUAGUGAUCCGGUGGUUCCGCAUGGAAGGGCCAUCGCUCAACGGAUAAAAGCUACCCCGGGGAUAACAGGCUUAUCUCCCCCAAGAGUUCACAUCGACGGGGAGGUUUGGCACCUCGAUGUCGGCUCAUCGCAUCCUGGGGCUGUAGUCGGUCCCAAGGGUUGGGCUGUUCGCCCAUUAAAGCGGUACGCGAGCUGGGUUCAGAACGUCGUGAGACAGUUCGGUCCCUAUCCGUCGUGGGCGUAGGAAAUUUGAGAGGAGCUGUCCUUAGUACGAGAGGACCGGGAUGGACAUACCUCUGGUGUACCAGUUGUCGUGCCAACGGCAUAGCUGGGUAGCUAUGUGUGGACGGGAUAAGUGCUGAAAGCAUCUAAGCAUGAAGCCCCCCUCAAGAUGAGAUUUCCCAACUUCGGUUAUAAGAUCCCUCAAAGAUGAUGAGGUUAAUAGGUUCGAGGUGGAAGCAUGGUGACAUGUGGAGCUGACGAAU
Molecule: ribosomal RNA, 557 nt
Filed under: Staphylococcus aureus
Lineage: Bacteria; Bacillati; Bacillota; Bacilli; Caryophanales; Staphylococcaceae
Description: partial 23S ribosomal RNA
Rfam family: Bacterial large subunit ribosomal RNA
Source: RNAcentral